CAGGUGUUGCUGAGGUGGUAGCAGGGUCGGUCCCCGUGAUCCCUGCCGCAGUACUGGCAGAUCUUCCCACGUGUUGCCCCCGUAGCCUGAGGAGGGGCUUGGAUGGCGGGUCUGGGCCUCUUACUGGGUUGGAUAGGCAUGGUAGGUGCUGGCCUGCGGAGCGGGGCUGAGGGUCGGGAACUCCCCGCUAGCUGAGGGUAGGUGUCGAAGCUCCUUUAUAUGAUCUGCACCUUUACCAGGACUGCUGAAUAUGUCUCGAGCUCCAUUACCAGUAAGUGCUGUCUGAUCUCCGGGCGGAGACCCCACUGGAAUUUCCUGGCCUUUCGGCCCUCAUCCAUCAAUGUCUCUG
Molecule: long non-coding RNA, 349 nt
Filed under: Carica papaya (papaya)
Lineage: Eukaryota; Viridiplantae; Streptophyta; Magnoliopsida; Brassicales; Caricaceae
Description: long non-coding RNA (CPAP_LNC016462)
Source: RNAcentral